AUGGAUGCCCGGCUGCUAGCGCUGGUCUGCUCAGGCACUUUCCAGGAUCUCGAAUCAUUCCUCGACGGACAAGACCAGCAAGCAGCUGCCGCCGUCGGAGGCUCCGCGACACGGCGGCCUCCCGGUGACGACGAGGAAGCAUUUCUCAGAGAGUCGCUGCUGGACGGGGUCACCGUCGGAGGCGACACUGUUCUCCAUGUGGUCGCCACCAAUGGUGACUCUCAAGACUUCCUGAAGAAAGCCAGCCUCGUCCACACCAAGGCACGGAGCCUCCUCUAUGUGCAGAACAAUGACGGAGAUACGCCCCUGCAUUGUGCUGCACGGGAGGGGAGCUUCGCCAUGGCGUCUCGUCUCAUUGAUCUUGCCAGAGGAGGCGAUGAUGCCAAUGCCAACAGAGUGAAGGCGCUGCUGAGAACAGAAAACAAGAUCAAAUGGACAGCCUUGCAUGAGGCUAUCAAGUCAGUCCCCGUUGGGCACAAUGAUAUCGUCGAGUUGCUCAUGAAGGAGGACUCGCAGUUGGCCAGCUUUCCUAAAGAUGGCACGUCGCCAUUGUACCUGGCCAUCUUGGAGGGGAGAAGUUUCACCGCGGAAACACUGUAUGAGUUGAGCAGCGGGGUGCUCUCAUACUCUGGACCAAAUGGACAAAAUGCGCUGCAUGCUGCCGUUCUUCGAGGCAAAGUUGAUAAAAAGAAAAUAUCGACAGUUAGUUAUGCUUGCAAGAAUGCAACAUUAUCAUGGAUUUUGAAUAUGCAAGACAAGAAUGGGAACACUGCACUGCACCUAGCUGUCAAGGCUGGCAGUGUUAAAAUAUUUUGUUGUCUGUUCAGGAAUAGACAAGUACAAUUGAAUUUGACAAAUAAGAAAGGGGAGACUCCACUAGAUAUAGCGUAUCAAAAUAUUCCUAAAGGCCUGCAUGCUUACAUGCACAGUGAAGCAAGAAUACUCUCUUUACUUCAAUAUGCUGGUGCUAAAAGGGGUAUCCGUCACCUGCAGGAUUACCUUGAACAAAGCAAUAUUGUCCAAAAAAAGCAGGGUGAAAUAGAUGAAAUGGAGAAAGUGAAGGACGCGACACAAAGUCUAUGCAUUGGGUCGGUCCUUAUCGCAACCGUGACAUUUGGUGCAGCUUUUGCCAUGCCUGGAGGUUACAGAGCCGAUGAUCACACUAAUGGAGGGACACCAACACUCGCUGGAAGUUACAAGCUUGGUUGCUGCCUUUGCACUGGCUACCUAUACCAUACUAGCUCUGCUUGCUCAUAA
RNAcentral lists this ribosomal RNA (1257 nucleotides) under Triticum aestivum (bread wheat). RNAcentral's name for it is "partial small subunit ribosomal RNA". The record is from RNAcentral. Lineage: Eukaryota; Viridiplantae; Streptophyta; Magnoliopsida; Poales; Poaceae.